RNAcentral lists this ribosomal RNA (546 nucleotides) under Triticum aestivum (bread wheat). RNAcentral's name for it is "partial small subunit ribosomal RNA". The record is from RNAcentral. Lineage: Eukaryota; Viridiplantae; Streptophyta; Magnoliopsida; Poales; Poaceae.
AUGUCUUCCUGCCUCACUGAUAUCAUUUCUGACAAUGAGGUGGAUUUCCUUAGUCUACAAGAGACUAUGAAAAAGAACUAUAAACCUGUUUUCUUUAGGAAAAUGGAUCCUAAUGUGGUGUUUAAGUGGAGAUGGAUUCCUUCCACGGGCAAGGCUGGUGGAAUUUUAUGUGGUGUGUGAAUGUACAAGUUUGACAUUGUGGACACGGUGUAUGGUAAAUAUAACCUGCAGAUCAACCUUGUUGAUAAGGUCAAGAAGUGCAGAUGAGUCCCCUUGACUGUCUAUGGGGCAACACAUGAUGAAAAUAAACCAGAAUUUCUAGCUGAAUUGUCCUCUUUUUGUCACAAGAUAUUUUCUCCACACUUAGUUGGUGGAGAUUUUAAUAUGCUUUUCAGAUGUGUUCAUGUUGGGGAAUGUAGUAAUUCAAAAAAAUUUCCUACAAUCAUGCAAGAUCUAUCUAGGAGAUGCAUACAACGAGACUGGAGAGUGUGUCCACGUACCCUCGUAGACCGAAAGCGAAAGCAUUUAGUAACGCGGUUGAUGUAG